CUCCUGGAAACGGGUGGUAAUGCCGGAUGCUCCGCCCCCUCGCAUGGGGGGUCGGGAAGGCUUUUGCGGAAUGGGAUGGGGUCGCGUCCUAUCAGCUUGUUGGCGGGGCGACGGCCCACCAAGGCUUCGACGGGUAGCCGGCCUGAGAGGGCGACCGGCCACAUUGGAACUGAGAUACGGCCCAGACUCCUACGGGAGGCAGCAGUGGGGAAUAUUGCACAAUGGGGGGAACCCUGAUGCAGCGACGCCGCGUGCGGGAUGGAGGCCUUCGGGUCGUGAACCGCUUUUGAUUGGGAGCAAGCGUGAGUGAGUGUACCUUUCGAAUAAGCACCGGCUAACUACGUGCCAGCAGCCGCGGUAAUACGUAGGGUGCAAGCGUUGUCCGGAAUCAUUGGGCGUAAAGGGCUCGUAGGCGGUUCGUCGCGUCCGGUGUGAAAGCCCAUCGCUUAACGGUGGGUCUGCGCCGGGUACGGGCGGGCUUGAGUGCGGCAGGGGAAGCUGGAAUUCCCGGUGUAACGGUGGAAUGUGUAGAUAUCGGGAAGAACACC
Molecule: ribosomal RNA, 548 nt
Filed under: uncultured Bifidobacterium sp.
Lineage: Bacteria; Bacillati; Actinomycetota; Actinomycetes; Bifidobacteriales; Bifidobacteriaceae
Description: bacterial SSU rRNA
Rfam family: Bacterial small subunit ribosomal RNA
Source: RNAcentral